GGGGUUGUGGCUCAAUGGCAGAGCACUUGCCUACCAAGCGUGAGGCACUGGGUUUGAUCCUCAGCACCUCA
This 71-nucleotide transfer RNA is filed under the name Marmota monax (woodchuck). It matches the Rfam family "tRNA". From Rfam's summary of the family: Transfer RNA (tRNA) molecules are approximately 80 nucleotides in length. Their secondary structure includes four short double-helical elements and three loops (D, anti-codon, and T loops). Further hydrogen bonds mediate the characteristic L-shaped molecular structure. tRNAs have two regions of fundamental functional importance: the anti-codon, which is responsible for specific mRNA codon recognition, and the 3' end, to which the tRNAs corresponding amino acid is attached (by aminoacyl-tRNA synthetases). tRNAs cope with the degeneracy of the genetic code in two manners: having more than one tRNA (with a specific anti-codon) for a particular amino acid; and 'wobble' base-pairing, i.e. permitting non-standard base-pairing at the 3rd anti-codon position. The record is from Rfam by way of RNAcentral. Lineage: Eukaryota; Metazoa; Chordata; Mammalia; Rodentia; Sciuridae.